GAUGAACGCUGGCGGCGUGCCUAAUACAUGCAAGUCGAGCGAACAGACGAGGAGCUUGCUCCUCUGACGUUAGCGGCGGACGGGUGAGUAACACGUGGAUAACCUACCUAUAAGACUGGGAUAACUUCGGGAAACCGGAGCUAAUACCGGAUAAUAUAUUGAACCGCAUGGUUCAAUAGUGAAAGACGGUUUUGCUGUCACUUAUAGAUGGAUCCGCGCCGCAUUAGCUAGUUGGUAAGGUAACGGCUUACCAAGGCGACGAUGCGUAGCCGACGUGAGAGGGUGAUCGGCCACACUGGAACUGAGACACGGUCCAGACUCCUACGGGAGGCAGCAGUAGGGAAUCUUCCGCAAUGGGCGAAAGCCUGACGGAGCAACGCCGCGUGAGUGAUGAAGGUCUUCGGAUCGUAAAACUCUGUUAUUAGGGAAGAACAAAUGUGUAAGUAACUAUGCACGUCUUGACGGUACCUAAUCAGAAAGCCACGGCUAACUACGUG
RNAcentral lists this ribosomal RNA (497 nucleotides) under uncultured bacterium. Its description in RNAcentral is "partial 16S ribosomal RNA". It matches the Rfam family "Bacterial small subunit ribosomal RNA", at positions 28 to 507 of the family's 1533-position model. The record is from RNAcentral.